AAAUUGAAGAGUUUGAUCAUGGCUCAGAUUGAACGCUGGCGGCAGGCCUAACACAUGCAAGUCGAACGGUAACAGGAAGCAGCUUGCUGCUUUGCUGACGAGUGGCGGACGGGUGAGUAAUGUCUGGGAAACUGCCUGAUGGAGGGGGAUAACUACUGGAAACGGUGGCUAAUACCGCAUAACGUCGCAAGACCAAAGAGGGGGACCUUCGGGCCUCUUGCCAUCAGAUGUGCCCAGAUGGGAUUAGCUGGUUGGUGAGGUAACGGCUCACCAAGGCGACGAUCCCUAGCUGGUCUGAGAGGAUGACCAGCCACACUGGAACUGAGACACGGUCCAGACUCCUACGGGAGGCAGCAGUGGGGAAUAUUGCACAAUGGGCGCAAGCCUGAUGCAGCCAUGCCGCGUGUAUGAAGAAGGCCUUCGGGUUGUAAAGUACUUUCAGCGGGGAGGAAGGUGUUGUGGUUAAUAACCGCAGCAAUUGACGUUACCCGCAGAAGAAGCACCGGCUAACUCCGUGCCAGCAGCCGCGGUAAUACGGAGGGUGCAAGCGUUAAUCGGAAUUACUGGGCGUAAAGCGCACGCAGGCGGUCUGUCAAGUCGGAUGUGAAAUCCCCGGGCUCAACCUGGGAACUGCAUUCGAAACUGGCAGGCUUGAGUCUUGUAGAGGGGGGUAGAAUUCCAGGUGUAGCGGUGAAAUGCGUAGAGAUCUGGAGGAAUACCGGUGGCGAAGGCGGCCCCCUGGACAAAGACUGACGCUCAGGUGCGAAAGCGUGGGGAGCAAACAGGAUUAGAUACCCUGGUAGUCCACGCCGUAAACGAUGUCUACUUGGAGGUUGUGCCCUUGAGGCGUGGCUUCCGGAGCUAACGCGUUAAGUAGACCGCCUGGGGAGUACGGCCGCAAGGUUAAAACUCAAAUGAAUUGACGGGGGCCCGCACAAGCGGUGGAGCAUGUGGUUUAAUUCGAUGCAACGCGAAGAACCUUACCUGGUCUUGACAUCCACAGAACUUUCCAGAGAUGGACUGGUGCCUUCGGGAACUGUGAGACAGGUGCUGCAUGGCUGUCGUCAGCUCGUGUUGUGAAAUGUUGGGUUAAGUCCCGCAACGAGCGCAACCCUUAUCCUUUGUUGCCAGCGGUUAGGCCGGGAACUCAAAGGAGACUGCCAGUGAUAAACUGGAGGAAGGUGGGGAUGACGUCAAGUCAUCAUGGCCCUUACGACCAGGGCUACACACGUGCUACAAUGGCGCAUACAAAGAGAAGCGACCUCGCGAGAGCAAGCGGACCUCAUAAAGUGCGUCGUAGUCCGGAUUGGAGUCUGCAACUCGACUCCAUGAAGUCGGAAUCGCUAGUAAUCGUGGAUCAGAAUGCCACGGUGAAUACGUUCCCGGGCCUUGUACACACCGCCCGUCACACCAUGGGAGUGGGUUGCAAAAGAAGUAGGUAGCUUAACCUUCGGGAGGGCGCUUACCACUUUGUGAUUCAUGACUGGGGUGAAGUCGUAACAAGGUAACCGUAGGGGAACCUGCGGUUGGAUCACCUCCUUACCUUAAAGAAGC
This 1554-nucleotide ribosomal RNA is filed under the name Salmonella enterica. RNAcentral describes it as "bacterial SSU rRNA". It matches the Rfam family "Bacterial small subunit ribosomal RNA". Lineage: Bacteria; Pseudomonadati; Pseudomonadota; Gammaproteobacteria; Enterobacterales; Enterobacteriaceae. RNAcentral also lists the same sequence under 1 other name. The record is from RNAcentral.